Molecule: small RNA, 500 nt
Filed under: Pongo abelii (Sumatran orangutan)
Lineage: Eukaryota; Metazoa; Chordata; Mammalia; Primates; Hominidae
Description: retained intron
Source: RNAcentral
AGCAACUCCAGAGCCUCCUUCAAGAUGCUGCUUGUCCUGCUCUCAGUGGUCCUUCUGGCUCUGAGCUCAGCUCAGAGCACAGAUAAUGAUGUGAUCUAUGAAGACUUUACUUCCACCACACCAGAUGCAGAGGACUCAAGUCAGAGGCCAGAUCAGGGACUCCAGAGACCUCCUCCUGAAGGACUCCUACCUAGAACCCCUGGUGAUAGUGGUAACCAAGAUGAUGGUCCUCAGCAGAGACCACCACAACCAGGAGGCCAUCACCGCCAUCCUCCCCCACCUCCUUUUCAAAAUCAACAAAGACCACCCCGACAAGGAGGCCGUCACCUCUCUCUACCCCAAUUUCCUCCUGUCAGCGUGGAGGAAGUAUCAUCAUUCUUCCAGAGGGACAGACCACAAAGACAUCCCCAGGACCAGCCACUCUGGUAAUCUAGAAUUCAGUGACAGGUAUGAUUCCAGUUCAUUCUCCAUUAAAUGCCCAAACUGCUACCAUUCUCAAA